Lentithecium fluviatile CBS 122367 is the source of this 136-nucleotide non-coding RNA. The record is from the annotation of a GenBank genome assembly. Lineage: Eukaryota; Fungi; Ascomycota; Dothideomycetes; Pleosporales; Lentitheciaceae.
UCCUCCGUGGCGCAAUUGGCUAGCGCGUCUGACUGUUAUAAAGUAGCGAUCAGGAGGUUCGUGGUGAGUUGGCUAAACUAAGAUGACAUCCCAGCAUGUACCUAACUUGCCUUAGGUUCGAGCCCACGCGGGGGAG